Molecule: ribosomal RNA, 671 nt
Filed under: uncultured bacterium
Lineage: Bacteria
Description: bacterial SSU rRNA
Rfam family: Bacterial small subunit ribosomal RNA
Source: RNAcentral
UGCUUCUCUUGAGAGCGGCGGACGGGUGAGUAAUGCCUAGGAAUCUGCCUGGUAGUGGGGGAUAACGUUCGGAAACGGACGCUAAUACCGCAUACGUCCUACGGGAGAAAGCAGGGGACCUUCGGGCCUUGCGCUAUCAGAUGAGCCUAGGUCGGAUUAGCUAGUUGGUGGGGUAAUGGCUCACCAAGGCGACGAUCCGUAACUGGUCUGAGAGGAUGAUCAGUCACACUGGAACUGAGACACGGUCCAGACUCCUACGGGAGGCAGCAGUGGGGAAUAUUGGACAAUGGGCGAAAGCCUGAUCCAGCCAUGCCGCGUGUGUGAAGAAGGUCUUCGGAUUGUAAAGCACUUUAAGUUGGGAGGAAGGGUUGUAGAUUAAUACUCUGCAAUUUUGACGUUACCGACAGAAUAAGCACCGGCUAACUCUGUGCCAGCAGCCGCGGUAAUACAGAGGGUGCAAGCGUUAAUCGGAAUUACUGGGCGUAAAGCGCGCGUAGGUGGUUUGUUAAGUUGGAUGUGAAAUCCCCGGGCUCAACCUGGGAACUGCAUUCAAAACUGACUGACUAGAGUAUGGUAGAGGGUGGUGGAAUUUCCUGUGUAGCGGUGAAAUGCGUAGAUAUAGGAAGGAACACCAGUGGCGAAGGCGACCACCUGGACUAAUACUGACACUG